This 222-nucleotide unclassified non-coding RNA is filed under the name uncultured Actinomycetes bacterium. Its description in RNAcentral is "uncultured actinobacterium contains 16S-23S intergenic spacer region". The record is from RNAcentral. Lineage: Bacteria; Bacillati; Actinomycetota; Actinomycetes.
UCCGGUUUGGCACCGGCAGUCUCCAAUGAGUCCCCGGCAUUACCCGCUGGCAACAUUGGACAGGGGUUGCGCUCGUUGCGCCACUUAAGGCAACACCUCACGGCACGAGCUGACGACAGCCAUGCAGCACCUGUGCAGGCUCCCGAAGGAGCACCGGCUUUCACCGGUUUCACCCUGCAUGUCAAGCCCUGGUAAGGUGGGGAUGACGUAUAGGAGCUCGAC